This 814-nucleotide long non-coding RNA is filed under the name Physcomitrium patens. RNAcentral's name for it is "long non-coding RNA (PPAT_LNC009121)". The record is from RNAcentral. Lineage: Eukaryota; Viridiplantae; Streptophyta; Bryopsida; Funariales; Funariaceae.
AAAAUAAAAAUAAAAAUAAAUAAAAAUAAAAAAAAUAAAGAUUGGUUUUUGUUUAUCAAUACUGAAUUUGCGAGGACGCUGCAUAGUUAGGAGUGGGGCUAUGUAGAAUGAGUAGUUAUUUUCAGAAUAUAGAUAUCUAGUGUAUAGUAUAAACAGGGAUAGAUAACUGCUGUAAAGGUGAUUCAGCAUGUAGAAUAGAUGAAUAGUCAAGAAAAGUAGUUAUUAUCUGUAGUAUAAGAGUUGGUAUCUCGGGGUAGUAUAAGGAGGAUGGGAGAGAGGAAGAAAAUGCCAGACUAUGAUAGUCAUGAGUCGGGAUAAGCUUGGUGCUAUCUCUUCUUAUUAAUUUUCUUGUUUCUUUUGUGUUAGUAUUGAUUCUAGUGAAGAGAAUCGAUUUAAUGAAUCAAUGUUUGAUUUAUGAAGUUUUUUAUGGAUCACUGUUUAUCAAUUGUUGUGAAAGAUUGAUGAUGUAUGGAAGUUUCCAGUCACUGUUUAUUGUAAGGUUGUGAGUUCAGUGGAGAGGAAUUGUAAUCAAAGGAAUUAUCUCGAUUAGAUUCUGUGGAUUGGAAGAUGUUUGUUCUAGGCUUUGGAUUAUGCUUGUGUGUUCGUGAAUUCCACAGGGUACUGAAAUUGAUGUCGUGGUUAUUAUCAUAUUGAUAUGAGAGAGUAGACAGUAGGAGGAAAAGUUAAGUAUUCUUUGGUAUUGUAAGCAUUCAGUAGUAGUAGUUAAUUUUGUGAUCCUAACAAGUAAAACUCAUGUGCUUAGUCUUUCUUUGUGUUCGAAUUCUCCUAUACAAGUUUAUUCUAGGAGGUUUCU